CUCUGGCGGCCAACGGAGGGCGAAAAGCACCGGCCCGAGGCGAGGCCGCCCCACCCCCUCGGCCGUGGGCGAGGGCCCUCAGGCCCGGGGCGAGGCCUGCCCUUCUAGGCCCUGCGUGCCUUUCUGCUCGGGCGUUGCUUCGCUGCUGGGGCCCCACAAGCUUUAUCAGCUAGUAAAUAAAUAUGGCUGGAUAUGAACCUCUGCUAGUCUCCACACAGAAUCUGUAGCUGGGAGCAAAACCUUUUCUCAAUUUCAAAACGUCUUUGUCUGACUUCUUACCUUAUUCGUGCAGAACAAACAGUCAAACAACUAUUUCCAUAUGAAUCCAGAUGCUGUUUUGAUUCUGACUCCACCUGAGGAUAGCGGAUUAGAUGGAGACACUGCUUCCAGUCUGACGGAAUGAUUUCAGCUGGUCCAGCCUGACUCAAAUUCACCUUUACUCUGACGAAUUAGACACGUCAGUUCUCUGGUACUUCUGCCAUGAAGUUAGUCCCUUGAACUUGAGCCAGAGAACCACUCCAAUUCCUGUUUGAACUCUGGAAUUCCCAUGUCAUUGGGCCUUACCCUGCCCUCCUUUGAAAUUCUCUCUCGUCUUUCUCUCUCUCUGUCCUUCAUCAUUCUCACCAGACAAGUAGGAGCUGUAUACCGAGUUAACUUUGAACAUCUAUAAAUGGCAAAUACAUGUUCA
Non-coding RNA from Equus caballus (horse), 688 nucleotides. NCBI's taxonomy places the organism in Eukaryota, Metazoa, Chordata, Mammalia, Perissodactyla, Equidae. The record is from RefSeq and is a predicted model, not a curated record.